UCCUUCUGCUUUUCCCGGGCCAGGUCUGGCCUUAAUGUUCCUGAACCACUAUGGCAGGCGAAGGCAGACUUGGGGAUGUUCCUGGGCCUCUCUGCCGGGUCGGGUUGGGGUUUGGUCAAUGACGGAUCUAGGGAUGCUCAGUCCAAUGGGCCUGCAGGUCCGUAUGUUCUCGUUGAGCCACUCCAGUGGAUCUGGGGAUGCUCAUCUAUACUCCCCCAACUUCUUGUACCAAUAAAUACAUUGAUGUCUUCCCUUAUUUUUCAUAAUUGAACUAAUCAUGUUUUCUUUUGCAAUCAUCGAGGAGUUGGGUCGUGAGUUAGUGCACCAAUAGCUAGACUGUCUGGUCGGAGUGCCUGAUCCUCCUCGAAGUUGAGCUUAAGGCUCAUGCCGCUAUUGAGAGUCAUCGGUUGAACUGCUUACUGCUUGCGGUGCACUGUCGUUUGGCCUCCAUCCGUCAGGUUGAUGCAGAUUCGGUUGUGUUGGGGCAUGUGACUCGAGCCACUUCGUCUACUCAACAUGUUUUGCCCUCUUCUCCUUGUGGUUGAUCCCCUGCCCCUCGCUGUAAUGCUCGGGGAAUUCUCGGGUUGUUAUUUCUCCGGUCCGGACUAUCCCUCCAGGGGACCCGAUCCCAACUUACUGCGGUGGCAGUUGUAUUGGAACAAGUGGUGUUCGCGAAUGGUAUUGAUGGUACCCCUGGUCUAUCAGCCCAAGCCCACACAAGAGCCCAGAAGCAAGGCCCUAUAAAGUGAAUAGAAGGUGAUAAUCUAAAUGGCCCCGCGGAUAUUAACCCGACCGGGUAAAACAAGCGGAUCUUCCGGGCCGGGCGGUUACUUCUCCAAGAGACGUGUUCCAGAACCGUCGAGUCCAAUAAGUCCUAUCCACCCGAGAACGCGGGACCUAAAAUCCGAUAGGAAGUUGUAUAAAUACCCCUAGGGGUGAAGUGUCUAGGGGGGGAAUAACGGUUGUUAUUACAAUUAUACUAUACGAUUUGUGGGCUUUCCCUAGGGACAAUCAGGUAUUAACAUCGAAUCAUUCAAUAACAGUGCACAUACAACAUCAACAACUUCUC
RNAcentral lists this long non-coding RNA (1069 nucleotides) under Zostera marina. RNAcentral describes it as "long non-coding RNA (ZMAR_LNC002631)". Lineage: Eukaryota; Viridiplantae; Streptophyta; Magnoliopsida; Alismatales; Zosteraceae. The record is from RNAcentral.